Molecule: ribosomal RNA, 603 nt
Filed under: uncultured bacterium
Lineage: Bacteria
Description: bacterial SSU rRNA
Rfam family: Bacterial small subunit ribosomal RNA
Source: RNAcentral
ACAUUUCAAACGGCAGCGGGUCCUGCAAUGGUAUGCCGGCGAGAUGGCGCACGGGAUGCGCUAACACGAUAUGCAAAUCUACCUUUAACUGGGGGAUAGCCCCGUAGAAAUCGGGAUUAAUACCCCAUAACAUUAUGGUGAGGCAUCUCACUAUAAUUAAAGCUCCGGCGGUUUUAGAUGAGCAUGCGCGACAUUAGUUAGUUGGUGAGGUAACGGCUCACCAAGACUUCGAUGUCUAGGGGUUCUGAGAGGAUUCACCCCCACACUGGUACUGAGACACGGACCAAACUCCUACGGGAGGCAGCAGUAAGGAAUAUUGGUCAAUGGACGCAAGUCUGAACCAGCCAUGCCGCGUGAAGGAAGACGGCCCUACAGGUUGUAAACUUCUUUUGUACGGGAAAAAACCACCGGUCGUGUACCGGUGCUGAUGGUACCGUAGGAAUAAGCAUCGGCUAACUCCGUGCCACUCAGCCGCGGUAAUACUGAAGAUGCAAGCGUUAUCCGGAUUCCUUGGGUUUAAAGGGUGCUCAAGCGUGAAUGAUACAGUCAAGUGGUGAAAAUCCUAUGGCUCAACUGUAGAACUGUCAUUGACACUGAUCAUUC